RNAcentral lists this ribosomal RNA (305 nucleotides) under uncultured bacterium. Its description in RNAcentral is "bacterial SSU rRNA". It matches the Rfam family "Bacterial small subunit ribosomal RNA", at positions 334 to 656 of the family's 1533-position model. The record is from RNAcentral.
AUGUCCUACGGGGGGCAGCAGUGGGGGAUAUUGCACAAUGGGGGGAACCCUGAUGCAGCGACGCCGCGUGGGUGAAGAAGCGCCUCGGCGCGUAAAGCCCUGUCUUCAGGGACGAUAAUGACGGUACCUGAGGAGGAAGCCACGGCUAACUACGUGCCAGCAGCCGCGGUAAUACGUAGGUGGCGAGCGUUGUCCGGAUUUACUGGGCGUAAAGGGAGCGUAGGCGGGCUUUUAAGUGAGAUGUGAAAUACUCGGGCUCAACUUGAGUGUUGCAUUUCAAACUGGAAGUCUAGAGUGCAGGAGGG